This is a non-coding RNA of Felis catus (domestic cat), 85 nucleotides long. Lineage: Eukaryota; Metazoa; Chordata; Mammalia; Carnivora; Felidae. The record is from Rfam.
GCCCGGGGGGCUCAGUCGGUUAAGCGCCCGACUUCGGCUCAGGUCAUGAUCUCACGGUUUGUGGGUUUGAGUCCCGCGUCGGGCU